GUGAAUAUAUUCUACAUAUAUAUCCAGAUACAUAUAUAUAUAUAUACAGCCUCGCAAAUCAUUAUUGACUUCCGGGAAAGAAGUGGUUGGCUGGAAACUGGGAAAGGAUUCUGCAAAAUUCAAGUCAAGGCUCUGUCUUCUUUCUUUUCCUCAAACUGGGGAGGAGUGGGGCAGGAUGCUGAACGGGCUACAUUAAAAAAAAAAAAAAAAAAACCUCUUUCUCUCUCUAUUUAUAAAUGAGAACUGUUGGAUGACACCUUUGACAUAUCAGCCAAUAUCAGUCAAGCUGAAGACUCCAGACACUCUGUGUGACUGUAACAUUUCUUCAAGGAAAGUAUAGCGUCUAUGGAGUUCAGAGGGCACGUGUUUGGGGAAAAAAUAUACAUGACAUAAAGAAGACGACGACGAAGAAAAAUGAGAAAACAAAAACACAAAAAAGGCAACUUUAAAACAAAGUAACGUGAGACCAGACGGGGAGGCUGAAGGGCUGGGCACUGGGAGGAGACGCUGCUGCUCACCGAACCCUGGGCUUUUCCAGCCUGUGGGCGCCUGAGGCAGGCGGGGCAAGCGUGCUGUGGGGCCUGGUCCCGGGUGAGGCCAGGAGGCCGCCACUGAGCAUCUCUGUCAUUCCUUUAGCUAUUUAGGGACCAAAGGACCAAACUUUUUAUUGCAGAUGUGUAGCUCUAUGUCAAAUAGAGGGGGAAUGGAGAACCACCUCCUUCCUGCCUCCUGGCUGUUCUUGUAACAGCCUAGAGCGAUUCUAUGAAAAAUGUAAUAAAAAAAAACUUAAAAAAAAACAAAAAAAGAAAAAAAAGAAAAAAAAGAAAAAAUAAUAAUGCUUCAAUGCUUUUGAAACAGCAAGAUACUAGUUCUUUGAUACUUUGAGAGGCGCUUUGAUUACCCUCAUUGAAGUCUAUGACACUUUCCUAUGGUUUUCUGUAUUAUAUGUCUGGAUGGAGCUGUUAAGAUGAACACAUUGCUGGAUGUUUGGGGAAAGCAACAAAAGUAUUAAAACUCAUUAACUGUGAAGUGUGAGAACACGGGAGGGAAACAAACUUCCAAGGCAAGGUAAUUGUGAAAAGUCUGUAAAUGCUUCUCUUCCCCCUCUUAAAAUCAUAAUAGUUGUACAGAAUUUUAAAAAGGAAAAGUUUAAAAUACCUAUAUAAUAGAAGAAAAAUUAGAGGAAAGCAAAAAAUAAAAAAAAAUAAUAAAAAAGGAAAAAAAAACCUAUAGAAGUUAGCGUUACUGCUAAAAUCCCAGAUGUUGUAGGACUGUACUUUUGUAGAGUUUAGACUGAGCAUCAAUCCCUUCUCCCCUCGAGUGCUGUCGGACGCCGUCGUCCCGAGGGCCAGGCCGGCCUCUCCCAGACCUGCAGGCUGCGCGCCACGGGCCAGGAAGGGCCCCUCGCCGGCCGCC
This 1416-nucleotide long non-coding RNA is filed under the name Heterocephalus glaber (naked mole-rat). RNAcentral describes it as "lncRNA (ENSHGLG00000045499.1)". Lineage: Eukaryota; Metazoa; Chordata; Mammalia; Rodentia; Bathyergidae. The record is from RNAcentral.